This 138-nucleotide small RNA is filed under the name bovine gut metagenome. RNAcentral's name for it is "Clostridiales-1 RNA". It matches the Rfam family "Clostridiales-1 RNA", at positions 25 to 159 of the family's 166-position model. The record is from RNAcentral.
GUGCGAAUGUGCUUGCACAUAUGAGCACAUGGAUUUAUGAACCUAACAGACAUGAGGAAGAAGGAACUUGCGAAGCAAGUGAACGGAUUCCGAAUGGCUGCAGGAUCACGGAAAUUGCGUAGCAAUGGAGUGAUCCGU